This is a long non-coding RNA of Drosophila pseudoobscura, 892 nucleotides long. RefSeq lists it as uncharacterized. The transcript is spliced from 2 exons. The record is from RefSeq and is a predicted model, not a curated record. Lineage: Eukaryota; Metazoa; Arthropoda; Insecta; Diptera; Drosophilidae.
UUGUUUUUCUGCCUGUUUUUUUUUUUGUGUGUAUUUCGUUUGAAAAUUAGUUUCCGAAGAAUCGAAAUUAUUAAGUCAUGCAGAAGACAAUUGGAUCAUUUGUUUACGCGGGGGAAUGUAGGUGUGUUGCCCCGAGUGCCGGGGCACAUGCAACAGGUUAAAUGACAAGAGUGACGUGUACCCCGGAUUGUCGCUGCCUCGGGGGCAUUUCUUAUUAUUUUUGUUCGCCGCUUUGGAGCCCCAAAUCAGCUUAAAUAUAAUUAAUGGCGGCAUUGGCCGGCCAGUGACAAGUCCAUUAAAAUGAGGUCCAGGAAGUCAAAGGUUGGGAAUACAGAGCAGAAAUAUCUCAAUUUGAACCUGUUCCCGUCCUUCAAUAAAAUUAAAGAGCCAUAAAGCAAAUUUACUGCAACGUGCAACAAAUUAAAACAUCAUAAAAAUCAAAGACAGACCCGAAAGAGAUCUCCGAUGGUAAAGGAAAAUGCCGCCAUCGCCAUAGCCAUCGCCAUGGCAAAACGCGAACAGAAGUUGAGCGGCGGCCCCAAAUUAGACGCCGCCUCCUCGAGGGCGACAGGGAGGAGAGCCUGGAGCCUGAAGCCUGGCGCGGAGCCCAGCUGCCAAGCCGCGGCUAAUGAUGACCUUUUCACUGCGGCACGACAACUUAAGGUCAGAAACAAUCAAAAGCCACUCCAACGGGUGGCAAUUGGCGCGCAGGCGCUUCACCAUCACCAUCCCGGUCUCGUCUUUAUUUUCGGGCUCCUUCGCCUCCUUCGGUGCCACUGCAGCUACCAAGCAACGCUAAUAGUUAAUAAUAAUUAUUAUUUCAUUUCUGGCAAGCGCAACUCCCACUGGCUGACACCAACUGAAAGCCGCAGCCGCAGCCGCAGCCUCAGCC